RNAcentral lists this long non-coding RNA (1581 nucleotides) under Cyanistes caeruleus (blue tit). RNAcentral's name for it is "lncRNA (ENSCCEG00000008127.1)". The record is from RNAcentral. Lineage: Eukaryota; Metazoa; Chordata; Aves; Passeriformes; Paridae.
AAACUACUCAGGGAGAAGAAUAAGAAAAAGAUAACUUAAAAAACAACAAUAAAAACCUAGAGCAGGAGAUAAAAAAGAGAGAUUCAUCAGCAAAACUCCUCUAAGGUAGGGUUGGAGUUGAUGGCAGACACAGUUAAACUGCAGCAUUCUGGAAAGAGCUAAUUUGAUUUGCCUGUAACUAGUAGGUGGGAAACAAAAACUCAAAAAAAAACUAAAGCAUCUCAAACACACAUUUACCUCCUCUUUGUUUCAUUAAUCCUAGCCAGGGCUGUGGCUGAGGUGAAGCUCAGUUUACUGCCCCUGAGCCGGCUCUGGGCUCUGCUCUGCCCAGGUGAGCCAGCACCUCCUGGGGCUGCUCCUAACUUCUCCCAGCUGUGUUUUCCCCAUGUCCCAAACGUCUCCACCUGGUUCUGCAGAUGGAGCAGCUGCAGUUGAAGGCAAACACCUGGUGAGCCACAGUCCUGCCCUGCCUUGCAGGGGGAGAUCAGAGCUGCAGCAGCUCCUAACCUAUUUAAAGCCCUUUCAGGGUUGUAAGUGUUGUGUUUGUGGUUAAUAAUCUGCCCCCUUUGAGCCCAGGGAAUCUGAAUUACUCAGCUGGGCAGCUUUACACCGACCAGCCACCAAAAAUCUCCUGAAAAUGUGGAAAGGAGUGCUAAAUCCAGCACAGGCUACCACUGGCUGCUGCAAUGCUGGUACCUUUACAACAGCUGCAUUUCUGACACACCAGCUUUGGGCUGCACCAACCCAGCCAGCACAAGAGCUGCAGAUGUGACCAGGCUCCCUGACAGGCUCCAGGCUGGCAGGAGGCUCCCCUGGGAUAGAGGAAGGAAGACCCUCAUCCCAUUCACUGCUGGUUUCAGACCUCCUGAAUACUUAGAAAUUCCCUUCUCUAGAAAAAUAUUUGACAAAAACUCAUCCUCCAGGGAAUGCCGUGAUGAGCAGAACAAGAGAAAUGUUUUUUAAGGGAUUUUUACAGCAGUCAUGUCAAGUAACACCUCUGUUUAAGUCAAUACUGCAGUCUGAGCAAGCUUUUAGUCCAACAGUUCAUUCUUUUUGGAGACUCCUUAACACUGAGCAGCAGUGUCAUACAACAAGCUGGUUAGCAGUGCUGCUUCUGCAUUUCUUUGCACCAUUUUCCUCCAAGUUCUUGCAUAUGGGAAAGCUGCAAAUUCAUUCCCUGAGGUUUGCAUGGAGAAGGCUGUUAAAUGCCAGGACGAGUCUCAGGACUGGGAUAUUUGCAUGGUAAGGAGUGCUGGAGGUGCAGCCUGCUGCCAUUCUCCCACGUGCUCAGGAGUCAAGUCAAAUCAAGCUGACAUUUGUAACAGCCCCUCUCGGGCCUCCUUUCCAAACACCUGCAUCCCUGUGUCUCCUGCUCCCCCAGCUCCUGGUUCUCAGUGCAUCUCUGCAGGCAGCAGCUCACCAUGAAAAUGCAGAGUGCCUGUCUUCCUCACCCAUGCAGAACUGCUAAUCCCAGCAGGAUAAUCCUGCUUUAAUGAGAAAACUAUAGAACCUUUGAUAAAGCAUAUAAAUCUUAGAAAAGCCCUACUACAACAUUCCUUAGUCUCUGGGACUGGAUGACCG